GUUUCAUUCUUCUUACGAACA
RNAcentral lists this non-coding RNA (21 nucleotides) under Caenorhabditis elegans. The record is from RNAcentral. Lineage: Eukaryota; Metazoa; Nematoda; Chromadorea; Rhabditida; Rhabditidae.